RNAcentral lists this ribosomal RNA (519 nucleotides) under uncultured bacterium. RNAcentral's name for it is "bacterial SSU rRNA". It matches the Rfam family "Bacterial small subunit ribosomal RNA", at positions 94 to 630 of the family's 1533-position model. The record is from RNAcentral.
AGUGGCGACCGGGUGAGUAACACGUGACUAACCUACCUUGAAUGGGGAAUAACCUUCCGAAAGGAGGUCUAAUACCGCAUAAAGUCCUAAGGAUGAAACGCCUAAGGACCAAAGGAGCAAUUCGUUUAAGGAGGGGGUCGCGGUUGAUUAGCUAGUUGGUGGGGUAAUGGCCCACCAAGGCGAUGAUCAAUAGCCGGCCUGAGAGGGCGCACGGCCACACUGGAACUGAAACACGGUCCAGACUCCUACGGGAGGCAGCAGUGGGGAAUUUUGCGCAAUGGGGGAAACCCUGACGCAGCAACGCCGCGUGGAGGAUGAAGGUCUUUGGAUUGUAAACUCCUUUCGAUCGGGAAGAUAAUGACGGUACCGGAAGAAGAAGCCCCGGCUAACUUCGUGCCAGCAGCCGCGGUAAUACGAAGGGGGCAAGCGUUGUUCGGAAUUAUUGGGCGUAAAGGGAGCGUAGGCGGUUCGGCAAGUCUUUAGUGAAAUCUCUGGGCUCAACUCAGAGUCUGCUGGAGA